RNAcentral lists this ribosomal RNA (495 nucleotides) under uncultured bacterium. Its description in RNAcentral is "partial 16S ribosomal RNA". It matches the Rfam family "Bacterial small subunit ribosomal RNA", at positions 28 to 507 of the family's 1533-position model. The record is from RNAcentral.
GACGAACGCUGGCGGCGUGCCUAAUACAUGCAAGUAGAACGCUGAAGGAGGAGCUUGCUUCUCUGGAUGAGUUGCGAACGGGUGAGUAACGCGUAGGUAACCUGCCUGGUAGCGGGGGAUAACUAUUGGAAACGAUAGCUAAUACCGCAUAAUAGCAGUUGUUGCAUGACAACUGUUUGAAAGGUGCAAUUGCACCACUACCAGAUGGACCUGCGUUGUAUUAGCUAGUUGGUGGGGUAACGGCUCACCAAGGCGACGAUACAUAGCCGACCUGAGAGGGUGAUCGGCCACACUGGGACUGAGACACGGCCCAGACUCCUACGGGAGGCAGCAGUAGGGAAUCUUCGGCAAUGGACGGAAGUCUGACCGAGCAACGCCGCGUGAGUGAAGAAGGUUUUCGGAUCGUAAAGCUCUGUUGUAAGAGAAGAACGAGUGUGAGAGUGGAAAGUUCACGCUGUGACGGUAUCUUACCAGAAAGGGACGGCUAACUACGUG